This 58-nucleotide transfer RNA is filed under the name Mus musculus (house mouse). It matches the Rfam family "tRNA", at positions 8 to 63 of the family's 71-position model. From Rfam's summary of the family: Transfer RNA (tRNA) molecules are approximately 80 nucleotides in length. Their secondary structure includes four short double-helical elements and three loops (D, anti-codon, and T loops). RNAcentral also lists the same sequence under 1 other name. The record is from Rfam by way of RNAcentral. Lineage: Eukaryota; Metazoa; Chordata; Mammalia; Rodentia; Muridae.
UGGCUCAAAGGUUUAGAGCACUGGCUGUUCUUCCAGAGGUCCUGGGUUCAAUUCCCAG